RNAcentral lists this long non-coding RNA (17943 nucleotides) under Capsicum annuum. Its description in RNAcentral is "long non-coding RNA (CANN_LNC019369)". The record is from RNAcentral. Lineage: Eukaryota; Viridiplantae; Streptophyta; Magnoliopsida; Solanales; Solanaceae.
AAUUUGACCUUAAAGUAUGAGAGUGAGCAUAAAUUUGAUCCCAAAAUAUGAUGUGGAAAUUCUGUUUCUGAUAAUUGAACACCAUUAUAAGUACAUUUAAUAUGCAUUUCUCUAUUCCAUUCCUGCAAAUCCUCAGACCAUUCAGGAAGUUGCAAGAAUAACAUACGCCCGAGAUUUUUGGCUAUUAUCAAUGAAGGUAAUACAACAUAUUUUCGAAGAAUUGAUUGAGUUAUUAACAUGUAACCUCUUAUUAUUUGCGCACAAAGAAUGUUAUCCCAGGCUUCUGCUACCGCUAGCCGUGCUUUUUCCUUUCUGGUGUUCUCCUUUUUUUUGUCCUUUUCUUUUUUCUCUUCUCUUUUUGUUUGUUCUUCUUUAGACUCUAGAAUCUUGAAUUCUCCCUCUUUACCUGUCCAAUUUCGAAAAAUGGUUUUAAUCAGUCAAGAGAUAUCAAAAGAAAAAAGACGGGGGGGGGUUAUUCUGUCGAUAAAAAGGUGGGAAUGCGCAUUUGCUUGAAAUAGUUUCCAAAUAACUGUUUUUCGCCUUUGAGCCCGCAUAGAGCCUGUAAUUAUACCUCGCCGAAAAUCGGAUUGUUGCGAAGAAAUAAAAUAUUUUUUAUAAGCCAUUUUUUGGUUUCUUUUGAAACUCUUCGAAAUAAUUUUGUUUUUCCUUUUAAAACUUUUCGAGUUAUAGUUAUAAAAGUUAUAAAAUAUUUCUUUUUAAAUUUUCCAAUUUUUUUUUCGAGUGAUUUAACCAAUUUUUUAAAGCAGACGAGUAAAUUUGAUCUUUUGCCUUUCUCAAUAUAUGUUAACUGAAAAAAAAAUUAUUUAAAUUUCACUCAUGUCAGAGUGAUCCAAAAAGAACAAGUGAUUAUACAUAACUAGAGCCUGAUCUGCAAUGAAAUAUGAGAAAAUUGAGUCAUUCAUCUAUGAGGUUUGAGCACCUUUUAUUUGCAAGGUCUAAGCAUCAUUUAUGGCCAUGCGUUUCCAAUUUUCAGGAAGUAGCUCUUUCAGAAUUCUUGACGACAGCGGAAGCAAAAAAUACAAAUUCAGAGUUACCCAAGAAAGGAGUUUUGAAAUCAAAAAAGAAAUUGAAGCAGGAAAAGAUAGAGCUUUAAAUCUUCACUCGAAGUUCUAAUACCACAUUGUUGAAUGUGUUAAGAGACUGAAUUAUUUACAUGUUGUAGAAAGAAGAAGCAAAUGAUAAGUAAGAAAGAGAAAAAAGAAAUUAAGAAAAAGAUCGAGUAUUGAAUUGUGUCUUGAAUGAGUACAAAUACUGUUUAAUAUGGGCAAGUCAGUUGGCUAAUUAAUUAAGUUUUAAUAACUUCUCAACUAAAUAACCGUCCUAACUAAAAUGACUGUAAUUACCUUGGCUGCUAAUUUAUCUGAUCGAAUCCAAGUAAUUGAGCACAAUAAUAUAGUGGAAUAGCUUGUAUAUAAGGAUGUUCCAAAUAAGAAUAACAUUGAUGCAUUCUUGAUGAAUUAAACUUUGAUAAUUUUACAUAACUCUUUUAAACAUGUUCAAUACAUACUAGCACUACUGGAAAUAAUAAAAAUUGGCCGCCUUUUUCCUCUCUUUUCUUGCACUCGUGAUCUUAUUCAAUGGGAAAAAGAAACUUAGACAUAUUUUGACAUUUGCACUUAUUUCAUAUGUGUAGUCGAUAAUUAGGAAUCGCCAUUAGAUGUUGUGCUCUGGCCGUUACUAAACCAAAUUUCUCAGUGAUGUCAAUAUCCUUCGGCAUCAUGCCAUUCGGCAACUCCCAGUUAAAGCAGUGAACCAAUUGAGCGACCAUCAAGCGAACAACGGUGAGCCCUAGCUGCAAACCAGGACAACUUCUUCUACCGGAACCAAAUGGUAGAAGUUGAAAAUGUCGUCCGCGCAGAUCUAUAUUGCUUCCUUGAAAUCUCUCAGGUUUGAACUUUUCAGGCUCGACCCAAGUGUCUGGAUCUCUGCCAAUUGCCCAAAUAUUGAUUAAUACUCGGGAUCCCUUAGGUAUGUGAAAGCCAUCAACCGUGCAGUCUUCAAUUGACUCGUGAGGAAGCAAUAAGGGUGCAGCAGGAUGGAGUCUGUUACUUUCUUUUAUGACCAUAUCUAAAUACUCUAGGCUUUCUAAGUCUGACUCUUCCACCAUUCUGUUUUUACCAAUGACUUGUUCCAACUCAUUCUGCACUUUUUUCAUCACAUUGGGGUGCCUUAAAAGUUCUGUUAGGAUCCAAUCAAUUGUUGUUGAUGAAGUGUCCAUAGAUGCUAUCAGCAAGUCCUGUAUAUACAUGUCAUAUUCUUUACCUGUUAAACUCAUAAAAUACUUAAAAUUGAAGAACCUAAAAUUUGCAGUCUACAAUCAAAGAUAAGGAGCAAAGACAUAUUGACAUAUUACAUACUAUAUUGGAAAACCUAAAAUUAUUAUUAUCAUUUUGGUACCUCAAAGUUACAGCUGCCACAGGAGUAGAGACUGAUAUUACUUCCUAAUUCCAACUUAUAUGAGACAAGUUUAUUUUUUGUUCGUUAAAAAAAUGUUAAGUGCCUUUUAUUAUUAGAAAUAAAUUAAUCUUGAAAUUUCUCUUCUACUAUUUAUAGUUAUACAAAUAAUUAAAAAGUGUUAUAUGAUCACAAAUUUCAAAAAUCAUAUUUUUUUUAUAAAUUUUAUAGUAAAUCAAAUUAUAUCACAUAAAUUAUUGUGAAGAAAAUAUUUUUAUUCACAAAAUAACAAACGCAACUUUUUCAUUGAUUUUUCUUUUUUACAGAACUAGAACUGUUUCAUUGAUUGCAUGUUGAAAAAGUGAAACAGAAAACUGUCGAGAGACAAUUCACGUGUCGAGAUUUUUAAUACUAAAUUCAGAAAGCAACAAUUUCACUAGUUAAAAAGGAUAAUUUUAAGCCAUGUUUAUGAUGUAUUUGACUUACUGAAUAAUAUAAUAUCUGUGAUUUAAUGAAAAGAAGAAAAUAUCAAGAAAUAAAAACCUAAUUGAUAUAACAAACAUGAUUUAAGAUUCAAAGUUAAUAUGCAAUAAUAAAUGAUUUUGCAAUUAAAGUUUAAUAUUUUUUUUAAAUAUAUAUAGAAUUUGAUAAAAGUUAUUAAAUUAACAAUAUUCUAGGUUUGCUCCACCUACCAAUACACCAUCGAACUCUUCCUGACCUUAUUUGUUUCCAUAAAGAUUAAGAUGCUUGAAUUUAAAUACAUAUUUGAAUAAUUAAGAUGUUUAUAGAUCUUAACAGAAAAUUAUUAAGGUUAAUAGUUAUUUUUCAACAUCUGAAUAUGCAUAACUUAUUUAUCUAUAAUCAUAAUAAAUAUAUAAUUUAGAUAAUCAAUUAAUCAAAUAAAAAAAAAUAUUAAUUUAAAAAUAAGAUCUUUAUUUGAUUACAAAUAUGAAAUAUUUAUAUUCGCUAGUAAUAUUGAAGAUGAUUUGUAUUGAUGAUGGAAUUGAUAGAAGGUAAAGUUAGUAGUUAGAAAUGGUGAUGAUGAUAGUUGUGAAAGUGGAUAUGAUUGGUAUUGUAGCGACUAUCAUGAUGAUGAUGAUUGAUAGCAGUGAUGAUAGUUAUAAUGGUGGAGUUGAUUGAUGCUAGUAGUUGACAAUGUUGAAGGUGAUAGGUGAUGACGUGUGGUGGUCGAAGUUGGUAGUUGAAAUUGAUUUCAAUAGCUGAUAGUAAUGGUUGUGGAGGUGGUGACAAUGGAUAUAAUUUCAAUGGAGGUGGUAAGAAGUAGUGUUAAUUAUUUGCAUUUAAAUAUAUAUUUGAAUAACUAAAAUGUUUCUAGAUUUGAAUAUGUAUAACUUAUUUAUCUAUAAACACAAUAAAAAUAUAAUGUAAAUAAUUAAUUAAUAAAAUAAAAAAAUAUUAAUUUAAUAAUAAGAUCAUUAUUCGAUUACAAAUAUAAAAUAUUUAUAUUCGCUAGUAAUGAUGAAGAUUAUUUGUAUUAACGCUGGUGAUGAUAGACUGUAGUGUUAGUAGUUAGCAAUGGUGAUGAUUAUAGUUGUGCAGUGGGCAUGGUUGGUGUUGUACCGAAAGCCAUGAUGAUGACGAUUGAUAGCAAUUAUGAUAAUUAUAAUGGUGGAGUUGAUUGAUACUAGUAGUUGGCGGUGUUGAUGGUGGUAGUUGAAAACUUGUGGUGGUUGAAGUUGGUAGUUGAAAUUGGUUUCAGUUGAUGAUAGUAAUGGUUGUGGAGGUGGUGACAAUGGAUAUAAUUUCAAUGGUAGAGAUUAUAGAUAGAUUACUGGUUAGUAGUGGUGUUGAUCGUCACGGUUGUAGGUGGUUCCUGGUGGUUGAUUAUGGUGGUCCUAACCAAGGUAGUUAGUGGUAGUGACAGAAGAUUGUCGAUGGAGUGAUGACGAAUAUUCUCCUAAAUAAGAAUACCUUUUUUGAUAUUAAGAUUUUAUUCUGGAUCUUAUUGAGUAAGACAUAUUAAAUGACUAAAUCUUAAUGAAAAUAAAUUCACUUAAUGAUUUAACUAAGGUCUCAAUCAUUCAAAUUCAAACCUCCAUUAAAUCUAAACAAAUGAAGCUUCUGUCAAAUUAUGUGAUAUAAUUCGAAUCAACACAAAAUUUCAAAAACAAAUAAAGAGUUUUAAAAUUUGUAAUCUUAAACAUAUAUCAUAGCAUUAAUGUGACUGUAAAAUUUUUGAAACAUAUAUCCUUAAACCUAAUACUUCCUUUGUCUCACUUUAUGUUAAGAUAUUCAGAUUGCAAUUGCAAAACACUUAAUAUAAAUAUAUAUGUAUGUAUCCGUCAAAUAUUUUAAAAUAAAUUUUACAUAUUUGAAACUAUAUGAAACAAAUGAUACAAGUCAACAUAGAUAAUAGUUAUAAAUUGAGAUAUGACACAAGUACACCUCACCCAGUCCCCUCUCCCCUCCUUCCACCCAAAAUAUACUUAAAAUUGCUAUGACACAUCUAAAUUUUAUUAUGAAUUUGUUUUUUUUAAAAUAUAUUUUUGUGCUCCUUUUUAUUGACAUGAUUGUUAAGUAGCAAAAUAUUUUUGUACUUAUUUUGUGUAGAAAAAAUAAGUUGGAGAGGGGAGUGGGGGGGGGGGGGGGGNNNNNNNNNNNNNNNNNNNNNNNNNNNNNNNNNNNNNNNNNNNNNNNNNNNNNAAAAGUGUUGGGGGGGGGGGGGUGGGGGGGGGGGAGAGGUAGUAGUAUCUCCAUAAAAUUUAUGUAUAUCAUAACAACUUUUGAUAUAAUUUAGGGAAUACUUAUAUCUUAUCUCUUAUAAAUAUUUAAAAUAAUUUUGAGAAAUUAUUGUUAGAAAAAUAAUUUAUUUGUCUCUCUAAACAAUAACAACUUCAUGUACAUAAAAUGGGAUGGGGAAAUAUAACGUGUGUAUGACAACAAUAUUCUUUUCAUGAUAAAAUGAGAAAAGUCCAAUUAAUUAUUUUCAAAUAUUAAAAUAUGUCCUUCUCUUUUUAUAAUAAACAACUUAGCAAAAAACGUAACCGUACAUAAACUGAAACGUUACGCUGAGAGCAUUUUAUUUUAUGUAAUGGACAUUAAGUUUUUAAUCAAUCUACAUAAGAUUGAAUACUUCUAUUUAUACAGAAAAAUGAUUUUACCUUGAAAUUUCUUAUUUUAUUAAUAAUGACGUGAGUUAAUAAUUAGAAUAUCUAUCUGGUGAGAAAGGAAGAGUUGUAUUAAUGAGUGGGGGAGGGGUGCCAGUUUUAUUUUGAAAGAAAAAAUGAUAAGAAAUAUAAUUUUUUAUUAAAAUAAUAAUAUAUUUAGUGUAUUCCUACAAAAUAGAUUCAAAGAAAGUAAAGUGAACCAAAUUUGUAUCACUCCCUUAAACAAAGUAUAAAAACUGUUUUUAAUAAACACUAACACAGAUCAUAAAUUUUUUUUUUUAAUUAAAAAUAUAAAAAUAUCGUAUCCCUCUUGUAACAAGAUGAUAAGAUAAAUACUACAAAUAAGGACCGUCUAGGGAGGAGGAAGGACAGUAUUCAUAGUUUUUGUUGUAAAAACCUAUUUAGAUGAAGUUGCAACUUGUGACUUAUACUUUCUAACAGCUGUAAAUUAGAAUUUCCAACAUAUAUUUUUUGACUUAUUUAUGUUAUUUUAGUUUGAAAAUAAAUUUUAACAAAUAAUUUUUAAUUUACAAACUCAAUAAAAAUAAUAAAAAUUAGUUCAACUUAAAAACACUUAAGUGAAUUCAAACAGGUUGUAAGGUUAUUAUCACUUUUUAGUGGAAAAAUAACUUGCAGGAUGUGCCUAAUAAUUUGAAGCACACAAAACGAACGCGAAUUGAGAGUGAACAAAAACAUUACCAGCAUAAUAGCUUUGACAUGGCGACGAUCGAACUCGAAUUCAGCCGCACCGGACUGCAGAAUCUCCAUCAGUGUAUCCACCAUAUCCUUUGCUUGUUUCUGCUCAUUGGAUUCACCAACAUGUUCGUCGAUUACUCUCUCCAAGAACUCGUCAAACAGUUUAGCUAAUUCUUUCACACGACGAUUAUAUCCCUGGAGAUCAAAUAUGCGAAGAAAAGGGAAAAAAUCAGAAAAAUUUGGCAAUGCUGCUAUAUGCAGCAUAUCUUGAAUUAUAGCUUUGAACCCCUUUUCGCCAAGAUCUUCGUCCAUGUACUUCUUUCCAAAUAUCAUCAAACAUGACAUGUUUGCACUGAGAGAACCAACUUUUGCAGUAAGAUCAACUACUUUGUGUUCCAUAGCUGCCUGUUUUACGAAAUUUAUAAGAAUCCCAAGUUCUUGUUUCCUCAUAGGCUGGAAAGCAAGGAUCUUGGCACUGCUUAGCAGCUGCAAAGUGCACAACUUGCGCAUGUUCCUCCAAUAUGGUCCGUAACGGGCCGAGACAAGAUUUUUCCGCUUGUAAAAAAUGUUUUCUGAUACUUGAUUAGAGGGUCUACUUGAAAAGGUUAAAUCAUGUGUUUUCAAGAAUUGUUCAGCAGCAUAAGGAGUGGAAGCAACUAUUACAGGAACAAGACCAAAAUGUAUGGACAUUAUAGGGCCAUGUUUCUUGGCUAUUUUGUUAAGGUCUUGGUGAAGAUUAUCUCCAAACAUGUGAAGAUUCCCAAGAAGUGGGAGCCCUCUUGGACCUGGAGGAAGUAUCUUCUUCUUCUUACUGAACUUCUUCUGUAGUUGUUGAAGAAGAAGAAAAACUAUGGCAACUACGGCAAGAGCUAGCCAAAGAAAAGCCAUGGUGUUGGUAAAUACCCUUUUUUAAUACUCAUUUAAUGUGGAAAUGCUAUUACUUAUAGGCUGUAGCUCUUUCUGGAACCAGUGGAAUUGUGGUUGAAAUGAAGUAGAGAUUGAUAGACUACAAGCCAAAAAGCCAAAAAAAUCAUACUCCAUUAAAAAUCAUAAUCUCUCCAUUUAAAUUUAUUUUUCUGAUUUCACAUCAAGUUUAAAAAAUAAUUACAAUUUUUAAAUUUUAUUGUCUCCGAUUAAAGAUUGGCAAGAUAUGUAAAAAAUCAAAUUAAAAAAUUGUCAAAAAGUUUUCAAAAAGUAAUAUAAACAAACUUAAAUGGAGAAAGUAUUUAUUAGAUGUUUUCAUUUUUGUUUUUUAAUGAAAAGGCCGCAUAUGCCGUGAAACAGGAGUGAGGGAAAAUUUUCUGGACACAUAUAUUCUCCAGUGAUAUUAGUGAUAUUAUUAUAUUUACCAAAAAUACCUUAGUUUUAAAUACUUGUAACAUACGUAUUAAGAAAUAAUAAAUAACAGAGGUAAUUUUAUUAUAUUUCUCUUUAAAUUUAAUAAAUGAGUGUCUUGAGAUAUGAAAUGAGUGAUGAAUAGUGUAAUAACAAGCGUAAAAAGGAUAGAAAAUAAUAAAUUAUUUAUUAAUUUUUUAAAUUAAAUAAAUAUUAUUAAAUAUUUAUUUUUAUUAUAAUGGACAAAUAUUCUUGAACAAAGAAUUAAUAAAAUUACUGCAAUGGCACGAAGUUAACUUUCCAAUCUGAGAGAAGACAAUCCUAUAUUUUUGCUGAUUUAUAGCCUGACAAUUUUUCUUUUUGCUCAGUCUCUCUCACCAACCAUCACCACACCUUCAAAAUUUAAGAACUCGUUGUAAUUGCUUGCAUUCUUAUUUCGGUGCAUAAAAUGAUGAUUAUGCGGGCACAAAUAUAUUUCUUAAAUUACUUGUGCAUUGGGUAUUGGGUACAAGGUUUUUAAUCGUGUCUUACAAAUUAUUAGUCCAACGUCGUUGUUAUUGUAUAUAUUUUUAUAUUAUUAUUAUUAUAUUUUAUUUGUACAUUGUGCCUGAAAAACAGUAUGUCUAUCAUAUUCAUACGUAAUAUGUUUUGUGGUUAUGUUUGUAAAACGUAGGUGAGGAGCUCUUCUAAUUACUAUAUACAGUAAUUGAUGGAGCACAAAGCGGUAUAUAGUAGUAUGUUUGUAAGAAAAAAUAAGGGACACUUGGACAACUUUAAUUGGAUGAAGUGGUAUAUGCACAUACCUCUAUUCGGGUUACAUCACAAACAUCUUGAAAUUGAUGAUUAUUACUUGGCAGAUAAGUCAAACACGCAAAGAGGAAUGAAGAUCGAAUUAAUACACAAGUAAGAUAAAAUAAGACUUAAAAAAAAAAAGUCAAGUCAGCACAAAUUCAAAAUAAUUGAAAGUCUUGAAGUAAAUAGCACAAGUUUCUUCAAAAUCCAGUGUAAUAAAUACAAAAGCAUCCAAAAUAUAACUUAGUCUGAAAUUACAUAGUCUGUCUCUGAAUGUGAAAUAAAGACAUGAAAAGAAUAGGAGAAUGUUUAAAAAUCUGCUUUGGACUCUAGGGCGUACAGUACCUCAAAUUAACAACCACAUAGCAAGAUUAGUUGUCGCGUCUCAUACUCGAACUAGGAUCUACAGCGAAUGCCACAGUAAGGAUGAGUGCAGUCUGCUUGUACUCACUGAAAAUAAUACUAGUAAAGGAAUACUAUGAGCACGUCACUUGCAGCGAAAAAGUUUUCAAAUGGUAGCUCACAUUGUGUCCAGAUAGAAAUAAUCUGUCAUGACCUGAACCAGGGCCUGACCAUGACGGGUAUCUCAAGUCCACCGAGGACCAUUGACCACCCCUUUGCCUAGACAAAUAGAAGAUAACACACCUAACAACGGCUUAAAUCCGAACACACAACAAGAUAGAAAGUACUAAGCUCAAAGGCAUCUAAGAGUGUCAACAUAAAUAUCCAAUCCACAGUAAUAUCCACAAAGUCUCUAUAUUAGAAAACAACACACGUCGGGAAGUUCCCUCGACCCUAACAAUGACAAUGUAAAUGCAAAGUCUUUAAUUCUAAUUUAUGGAAGGAAAAAAUGAUGGAAUGAUCAAGUCUUUUGAAGAAUGGAAGAUCACUACUUCACCGCAAUGACCGACUCUGAAAUCACCUAUUACUGCACAGGAAAAGUAGAAGUUCACUUAGCCCCUGCAUCGCGUGGGUAUACGACGUCCGGGGACGGUUAGUGGAGUGGCGCUAGCAUGUAACUCAGGGAUAAGGGUAAAAUAAUAUCAGUCAAAAGUUCAAUUUCAAACUCACUGUACAUGUUCAUAUACAUAUACAUACAUAUAUACAUACAUACAUACAUACAUAUAUAUAAUAGAUGAUGAGGUAGGGAGUAAGGUGUCGCAUGAUAGUAAAACAUUAUCCUAGACGAUGUAUGUAAUGCCCCAAUUUUCAGUCCUUGAAAAUUUUUUUAAAUUUUAUCCUCACUUUCUUGAUUACGACUCCCCUGAUGAGUCGUAGGGAGCUUUGAUGGGUCGUAGGAACUCGAUGGUAACUUAAUAAGAAUAAGUGGCUUAGUAUUCUGCUCUGAGUACAAGUGACACUCAACUAGUCAUCAAAACUUCUUACGGGUCGUAAGGACCAAGUCGCACGGUCUUCAGUAAGUUUGGCCCAAGAUACUAUAUUUAUUAUGAUUUGAGGCCACGAGUCAUAAAGACUAAUGAUGAUUCAUUAGGUCCCAAUCAUAGGGUGUCCAGUGUGUCAUUCUAAAUUGUUCUUUUCUUGAGUACGAGAUAUGGUUAUGAUUCGCGGUAUGAAUCAUAGCCAGAACAGUAUGGGGCCUUGGUGGUCCUGUCUUGACUAUGACUCCUUGUGAUGAGUCGUAAUGAGUCUAUACGAGUCGUAUAGUGAUCCGUAGUCACUUACAAUAAUUUUAAGUCAUUUAAUUAAGGGCACUUUGGAUAUUUUCCCUCUACCUCAAUUGUAACCCAUGAUCUAAAACUCUAUUGGGAACCCCAUUAGCAUCGCUAACUUACUCAAACACCUCCAAAACUCUCUUAAAUUCUCUAAAGCAUCCAUACUUAGGUUUUCCAAGAAAUAGGUCAUCCAAGGGCUCAAGGUUUGAUUCCUUCCGUAAAACUUGGUAUUUCAGGCAUGCUACUCUUCCCUCAUUGUUAAUUUCUUAAAAACAUAUGUUUUAAAGUAUUGUUCAUGAGAUAUUGAUGUUGGUUUUGAAACAAGGGUUGAGGGUUUUGAAUGCUUGUUGUUGAAUAAUAUUUUUUCAUGGUUUACAUAUGAUUAUUCAUGCUUUAAACAUUAUUUUGAAAGUGUAGGUGCAUGGGUAUGGAGAAUGAAGUAGGGAAUUGUGAUUUUUCCCAAACAUGUGACUUUUGAAGUGGGUAUGACUCCAACCCCAUAUUGUGAAAUUAGUUUUAAUUAUGAGAAAUAUGGGAAUUUGAACUAUUCUUGAACUAUUGCAUUAUGAUUUUGAAUUGAACUUUAUGGGGAAUGUAUAAUUCCCUAAGCUAAUGUAAAAUUGAACCAAGGGAGUUAUGAAUUCCUCUAAGUGAUAUAACUAUUUUGGCAUAUUUUUGUUCUUUGCAAGUGUAGUUGGUAUGAUGAUACCAACAAUGUAUGCCUUAAUAUUGAAUAUGAUUUAAUGAAUGGGAAUGUGUGAUAUUUUUUUUUAAAUUGGGCUUAAAAGAGAGUUGUGUAGCUGAGUCAUGAAAGUGGAGCUCCGAGUGACCGAUACUGGAAACUGUGGUUACUGACGCAGGGGUUAAAAUGACCAAAGAGGUUAGACUCCUCCUUAAUAUUAUUAUCACAUGAUUGGAAGGUUCGAGUCACCUACAUUAUAUUACAUGAUUUGGUGUUCGUGUCACCUUGAUAUUCAGGGAGGUUCAAGUCUGCCAUAUUGCAUAUGUAUACCAUCUGGUUCGUGCGGAUACACGCACUAGGGCCCUAGUAGCUAGGGGAGAGUUGGGCCUAUAUAGCCCGUGGGUGCCUCCUUAUCUUAUGAUGGUUGAGCUAAAUGACCUAGGCUAAAGUUUUAAAAGCAUGUUAAAUCUUGUUCUUUUUUCUGGCAAUGUGAUAUGUAUAUAUAUAUGUGUGUGUGUCUGUGUGUAAUACCCCAUGUUUGAAAGUUACUAUGAAAUAUACGACUCAUGUCCUCAAGUCGUACAUAUAGCAUACGAGUCAUAAGUUGUAAGUCACUGCUGUGGCAGUGUGGAGGGUUGAAGUCUGUUGUAGGUACUAUUUGACUAUAGAAAUUGUCAUAGCAUGUUACGAGUCAUAUGAAGUGAAGUCGUAAGUUUAGCAGUAUAAGUUUCCUAAGUUUCUAACUAAGUUACGAGUGAUGGUUUCAAGUUGUGUGAACAAGUAACGUGUCGUAAAGUUACUACUCGUAUGUUGACCAGUGUGUGCUAUCUUUUACACUACCAAGCUACGAGUUACUAGUCCAACACAUAUCCUCACUAUAUGAGUCGUAUGGUUGACUCGUGACGACUAACAGUCAAUUUCUGUAAAUUCAAUUAAGGAGAUUUUUGGUCUUUUCCCUACUUAUAACUCCCAACCCAUGACCUAUACCCAAGAGAGGCAUUAUUUUCCUCAUUUUUAGUCAAUUAACAACAUCUUUUAUCUUCCCAUAUUCAAGAACAACAAGAUUAGGGUUUCACUCACCAAGUCAUCUCUCUCAACUCUCAAAGUUCAAGUUCUCUUCAUAAGUCAAGCAAUUCCAGAUAUGUGGGGUUUUUGAACAAGGUUAAUCUUCCAUCCUUGUGCUCAAAAAGUAUAAUUUUAAGAUUGAAUUCACAUGUUUUACAUUAGGGUUCAUCCCUUAAAUUCUCAUGUAUUGAAGUAUACUAUUAUCUUAUGAUUUUAAGGCUAAAGAUGCAUAAAGGUUACAUCUACUCAUUUUUUGAACUAUAAGAUUGAUCUUGUGAUUUAAGUUUCAUUACUUUGAUUUGGAUUCUGAUGAAAGAUUUCUAUUUAAGUAUUGAACCUGAUAUUUUGUUAUAAGUGUUAUUCAAGAAAGUAAGAGUUCCAAGAUUCAAGAAAAAAUAUUAAGUUUAUAAAUAAAGUUUAAGCCUUUUGAAGUUCCAUUCAUAUACAAUAUAGCAUGAUUCAAGAAAGAUUGAUCUUUUGAUCUAAAGAUAAAACACGAAAUCCACAAAUGGUACACCUUAAUUAUGAUUUAAAGUAAAGGUAAGCAUAACUAGUUUUCAGUCUAUAAACCCUUAUGCUAUUUUAAGGUGGAUUUCUUACGUAUGAGCAUAUAUGUAAUCUAGGAGAAGUAUUUAGCACCAAAAAGGAAAUAUGGAUGAGCAUAUCCAAAAUUCUUGAAAACUACGAGCCACCAUAGGUUAAGCAUUUUCUCUAUAUGGAUGAAAUAUAGUGAUCACUUAAGUUAAGGUUCUAUUUCAAUGGCAAGGGUAGAAUAACUCACCCCAACAUGGAUAAGAUGUUGGACUCCAUCGAAGUUCACAUAGUUUAUGUCGGUUAGAAGAAUCUCCCAUAAGAAGGAAUAAAGGUAAAGAUUUUAGAAACUAAAUGUUAUGGCUCAAUAAGCUUAUUCAUCUGCUCCAUUAGCCAUGUUUUACGAUCUCCUAGUCUCUAUUUUUACUCAAGUCAAAGGUGAGUCAUUUAUGCUUAGCAUGCAUUAUUUGAAUGUUUAUAUAUAUAUAUAUAUAUAUAUAUAUAUAUAUUCUUGUUUUAUUUAUGCGUUCACCCCUCAUACUCAGUACAUUCCAGGAGUACUAACCCACAUAUUUGUCUAUGUACUAUAUUGUCUUAUAAUGUAGGUUCUGGUGCUCGUUUCUAGCAGUGUGACUUACUACGGGCAUCACUUUUUGCAUCCCUACUUUUGGUGAGUCCUCAUAGUCUAAGGACCCAGUUUAUCAGACUCAUGUUUAAGAUUGAAAGUUGUUUUAGAUCUUUGAAUUUCUAUUUAUGUUUGGGUCAACUAGGGUCUAUCCCACUGGCUCUCUAGUCAGUAAUAGAGGCUUGUUAGUCCGUGUAUGUUUUAAGUUCAAAGAGUUUGUUUAAGGUUUCCAAAGUUAAAGAUUUAUAUUAAACUGUAGAAUUAUUUAUCUUCAGUCCAUAUUCAUACAAUAGUUCACUAUUAAUAUGAGUUGUAAGUUGAAUAGACAUCAUAGGUUAACUUAGGGCUAUUCAUAGUCUUGAUCACUGUGUGACAUCCAGGGGGUACUUCCGAGGUGUUACAACAUGUACAUAAUCUGGUUGUGUGCAAUGGGUUUGAAUGAUUUGAAACUUUUGAUCAUAGCAUUAUGUUAUACUUAUCUCCAAGUUACAUGCUAGUGUUGACCCCACUAAACAUCUCCAGAUAUUGUAUCCCCAUGCGAUACAGGCACCGUAGCUGCUUCUACUUUUCCUGUGUAGAGUUAGGUAGAUCAACUUGGUUUGUUAGUUCAUUAUGGUGAAGUAGUGAGCUUCCAUACUUCGAAAGACUUAAACAUUUCAUCAGUUAUUAUCAUAGACUAGAGUUGAGGGUUUUAUUAUCAUUAACAUUAUUAUUUUCAUUUUCAUUGUCAUUUGUCGGAGUAAGGGAUAUGUCCUGACCAAGAUUUUUUUGGUGCUUAUGUUAGAAGUCUUUAUUGAAUUACUGCGGACUUGGGUGGUGUUGGUCGGUUGUUUUUUCCGGUCGAUGGUUGUCGGUUAUAAACAUGAUUUAAACAUUAUCAAGCCUAUUAUUAUGCUAUCUUUUUAUAUAUUCAAAAUUCAUCUGAUAUUGGGGAUAUUAUGUUGUUAGUUAGGUGUUCAAGGGUGAUCUCUGGUCCCUGGUGGACUUGAGAUAACUAUCACGACCAGACCCUGGUUCAGGUCGUGAUAAUGUAGUUCAACUAUCAUAAACUGGCACCCAUAGGCUAUAUCGGUUCAGUUCCCCCUGCUGAAAGGGCCCCAGUUCCUGUUAGCUGCAUGAACCAGAGGUAUCAAGGAAGACUAGGAAAUGCCCCGAUCCCACAUCAAUCUUAGAUAUAAAAUAUAUCAAUAGUAUGAACCAUGCAAACAGUUAUCUAGACCAACCCUCAUGUUGGUAAACGUGAGUUUUCAAUAUAAGUCAUUUGAGACCCAUACCUUCAUGGCUUAGCUACAUAAACCCCAUUAAGACCAAUUAAAACAACUUUCACAUAAUCCCUUAAUUAGCUAAGGAAUAAUACAUUAAGGCACAUCACAGUAUCAUCAUACCAUUUAGCUUGCAAGCUCAUAAUUAUGUUAUUAUAGUUUCAUUAACUUGGCGGAAUGCCUCGGCCCCUUUGUUUAUUAAAUCAAAACAUAGCCAAAAGGCCUUCAAAAUCCAUGUUCAUUGUUUAACCAUUUAUGCAACGCAAUAAAGUAGGUGAGUAAGUCAAACUAAGUGACAAUUCCACAAUUCAAGACAUUUACACAAGUGGGUUGAGGGAAUACAGUUGUUCAAAACCAAGUUCAAAGUUCAAAAUAUCAAUUUGGGGGAUUACGUUGACCCUAUUCCAAUUUCCACACCCAUGCACCCCAUUACAUAAAAAAAGAUUCAAUUUAAAGCAUCAACAACUCAUGAAAACCAUGGGAAAACCAUUCAGAGAUCAACCAUUUCAAAGUGCUCAACCCACAUCAAAACCUACAUUCAAAUCCAUACAAUUAAACUAUUUAAAAUACAUUCCUUUCACAAAAUAAGAUUUGGGGAAGAGUAACAUCACUGAAAGUAUCACAAUGAAGGAGAGAAAUCACCCUUGAGAGCCCCAAUUGACUAACUUCUUAGAAACUCCAAGUGUUCUUAACCUUGGGGAUUUGAGAUAGAUUGGGAAGUUAUUUUGAUUUGUUUCAGAGUGAUAAUGAUACCCUAAAGGGGGUUUUAAGUCUUGGGUCACGAUUGGAGAAGAGGGGAAAUGUCUAAAGUGCCCUUAAUGAAUUACUAAAAAAUUAUCGCCCAGUCACUAUGGGCAAUCUUUGUAGGGUCACCUUACGAUUCGUGAUUUCCAGUCAUAGUCAGGACAACAGUUAUGGUCACCCACACUGGUCUAGCUACAAGUAGUACCAUGCGACUCGCACUCAGAUAUUACGAAUAGUCUGGUCAAUUCGUAUGCAAUACAAAAUAUCUAGGCAUCACACUAGUUUGGCUAUGAGUGGGACUAUACGACUCGUAUAGAGUAUUUAUGACUCGUUAGGAGAUAAUCAUAAUCAUAACAGAAAGUUGGCCAAUCCACACUGGUUAGGAUACGGUUAGGGUCCUAUGACCCAUAAUGACACCGUGUUACUCAUACGGAGAGUUGUAAUCUGAACAAUAAGCCCAUAGGUCAAGAAAUUGUCCAGGAAUAAAAUCCGGUGUGUUACACAAGCAUUCUCAAAGGUACAUAGAAUCUAAUUACACAUCAAGUAACACAUAGAAGGAACACAUGAAAUGCAUAUGCAAGUGCAAUGCAAUAAAUAUUAAAGUAAAUAGCUUGAAAGUAAUCAAAUGACUUUUUGUAUACACCUAUAUAGACUCAAUGCUACAAAAAUAGGAUCCAUAGAGGUUCACAACCAGUACAGUAUCUUAAAAUCUCCACCAAUCUCUAUCUACCCGUCUGGCACAUCCUCGCUCUAGGCAUUUUUAAAAGUGUCUCAUUGUUUCUUAAAAUUAGUGUUCCUCAAUGUUAUUUAUUGUUAAGUUUUCAAGAGGUGUAAAUGAAAAUGAAUAGUUGUUUUUCCAAAAAGACAUCAAGAGAAAGGAUUCAAUUAGAAUAGACACCUUUUCACUUUCUAUGAUUAUGACCUAUUUAAUGGGUAUUAACUUUUCCGAAGAGUUGCACCGUUAUGAGAGGUGCACCUUUCUCAGUAUUGAUUCUUUUGUGAAGCACCAUAUUUUUUCUAUAAAUAUCAGAUUUCUACUCAGAUAUAAAAAUAAGUUUUGAGAAAAAAUAUUCUUCUUCUUGAAAAAAGCUAAGAGUGAUUUGCUGCCAUUGAGUGUCUUCAUAGUUUGACAAAUUCUGAGGUAUACAAUUCAUUUUAUAUUGAGAGGAUAUAUUCCAUAACCUCAGAUACUUGAGGGAAAUAAUUUCCUUAAGGACACACCGUGAAUUCGGUUUACUUGAAUCUUCUAAUCUUAAUUUUUUUUUUGAAAUGUUUGGUUUUGCUAUUUUUCAUAAUAUAGUUUGAAUUUAUUUAUUGUUCUUGGAUUUGUUCUUGAAUUUGUUGUUGAUAUUCAUGUUGUAAAUAUAGAAAUGAAAAGACAACAAUGUUAAGGAAAUUUUUUUUUUUUUUUGCUUCUUUGGUGAAAAAACAUACCACCAUUUAUAAAUCAAAUACUUGGUUAAUCUGUAUUGGGUCUGAUUUAUGGAGACUAAAUUUUUUUGAUUUCUACUCCCUCAGUUAAAAAUAUAUACAAAAUUCAUCGAGAAAUAGGAUUAGAAGAAUAUUAAAACUUUACUGAUUCAUUAAGCUUUAUGUAUUGAUUUCUAGAGAUUAAAACCUAUGAUUUUCUACUUUGCUAAAAUUUAAUUCCUAUUUAAAGAAUAUAAAACCUUUACUAGAGUUCAAAGUUCGUUUGGUCGAUGAUUUGAAGAUAUAAAAACUUCAUCAUUGACUAGAACUAAGUUGAUUAAAGAUUAAGUCCUUGUCAUCAGCAUUCUAAAAUACUAGAGUGUUUGUCAAAGAUCAACAGAAAAAUGAUGAAUGAAACUAAACAAUAAAGUGAUUCGGUAAUGAAUAGGUUGUCCAACAACAAUAAUAUUACAUCAUCAAGAUAUUCAUAUGUUGUUCUAGCAAUGGUAAUGACUAGGAAAUUUAAAACAUUUUCUGGUGCGAACUUCAAAGAAUGACAACAAAUAAUGCUUUUUUGAAUGACAAAAAUUUAAAUGUAAAGGUUCACAAGUAGAGAUCCUUAUGUACAUGAAAAAGGAAUUUUUGAAAACCAAUUGUAUGAUUUAAAAUAUCUUGUAAUUCAUCUCAAGAUAGAAGAGAGCAAUAAGUUGCAUGAUAAAUUAGCAAUGAUGGGUGCAAAUCCUAUUAAAGAUAAUGCUACACAUAAUAAGAUGAUGAAGAAAUCUUCUGGACAAGAGAAAUAGCAGAAUCAGAAAAGUUUCAAAGGCAAGUGCUACUAUUAUAGUAAGUUGGCCACUAACUUCUAAAUUCUCAAGUUUUGAAGAAGAGCAAGAAAAAAAAUUAGAUAAACAUGGCGGAAGCAAUAGAAAAGAUUGAAAACAUGUGUGUUAUUGUAACGACCCAAAAACAAGGGUCAUGAUGGCACUUGUCGGACGAACCUUGGCAAGUAAGCCUAUCACCCAAACUGGUACACAAAAGGGAAAAGGACAAAUAUACCCAAAGGCAAGGUUUCUAGAACAAAGCCAAACCCUAAAAUAUCACAAAUACAGAAAGUAGAUAACCAACGUACCAUACAUUCCCAAAAGCUAGUGUCAAUAGUGUAAAAACAUACCUAAUACAACUCAAAUCCAAAUGAAAUACAUAAGAUAUCCAAAAUACAAGAGAAACUCUAUCUCUGAAAUAAAAGCAAAGGCAUAGUCUAUGGAGAAAAGUAGUAGAAGACAUUCGGAAGCCUGAAAAUCACUCACUACCUUGAAAGCUCUAAUAGUCGUCUAUAUCAACUAAGAUGGGGGCGCACUCUACUAGGAACAACACCAAAAGGGUGAAGUAAGUAUGAGUAUGGUACACUUGUACUCAGUAGGUAUCAUAGGUCGAUCGAUCAAAGUAGAUAAUAAAACAUGAAAAAUACACACAAAGAGACACGUCACCUGCAAAUAUAAAAUGUCCCACAAUGGUAGCCUACACCACUUGCACUAACAGUUCUAUUAUAUACACAUAUAAAAAAACCAUGUAGAGAAGAGAAAAA